CAAAUUAGAACUUGGUUAGAUAAGUAUUUCAUUUACAUUGAAAAGGAGUUGUGCAAUUCAAUAUGAUUUGA
Molecule: transfer RNA, 71 nt
Filed under: Neochauliodes bowringi
Lineage: Eukaryota; Metazoa; Arthropoda; Insecta; Megaloptera; Corydalidae
Description: tRNA-Val
Source: RNAcentral